AACAAAGGCUGUCCCUCCGGAACGCAUUCCGGAGGGACAGCCUUUUCU
RNAcentral lists this small RNA (48 nucleotides) under Paenibacillus sp. P22. The record is from RNAcentral. Lineage: Bacteria; Bacillati; Bacillota; Bacilli; Caryophanales; Paenibacillaceae.